Rhinichthys klamathensis goyatoka is the source of this 120-nucleotide small nucleolar RNA. Lineage: Eukaryota; Metazoa; Chordata; Actinopteri; Cypriniformes; Leuciscidae. The record is from RefSeq and is a predicted model, not a curated record.
AACCAGAGUGUUGAGUUCAGUUCUGGGCUUUAUCCCCAGUUCUGCUAAUUAACCUCUGGGACAGAAAAUGGCUGAGUGUUAACACAAUCAUGAAGUGGUUAUUGACUCCAGCCGACACGA